Molecule: ribosomal RNA, 465 nt
Filed under: uncultured bacterium
Lineage: Bacteria
Description: partial 16S ribosomal RNA
Rfam family: Bacterial small subunit ribosomal RNA
Source: RNAcentral
GACGAACGCUGGCGGCGUGCUUAACACAUGCAAGUCGAACGGAAAGGCCCCUUUUGGGGUACUCGAGUGGCGAACGGGUGAGUAACACGUGUGUAACCUGCCCUUUACUUCGGGUUUACUUCCGGAAACUGGGGCUUAUACCGGUUAGGAAUCCUUUCUCCCUGUUGGGGGUUGGAAAGCUUCGGUGGUUUUGGAUUGACUCGCGGCGUAUCAGCUUGUUGGUGGGGUAGUGGCUUACCAAGGCUUUGUCGGGUAGCCGGCCUGAGAGGGCGACCGGCCACAGAGGGACUGAGAGACGGCCGAGACGCCUACGGGAGGAAGAAGGGGGGAAUAUGGCACAAUGGGCGGAAGCCUGAUGCAGCAAGGCCGCGUGCGGGAAGACGGCGUUCGGGUUGGAAACCGCAAUCAGCAGGGGCGAAGCUUGUGGUGACGGUACCUGCAGAAGAAGCACCGGCUAACUACGUG